This 468-nucleotide ribosomal RNA is filed under the name uncultured bacterium. Its description in RNAcentral is "partial 16S ribosomal RNA". It matches the Rfam family "Bacterial small subunit ribosomal RNA", at positions 28 to 507 of the family's 1533-position model. The record is from RNAcentral.
GACGAACGCUGGCGGCGUGCUUAACACAUGCAAGUCGAACGGAAAGGCCCUGCUUUUGUGGGGUGCUCGAGUGGCGAACGGGUGAGUAACACGUGAGUAACCUGCCCUUGACUUUGGGAUAACUUCAGGAAACUGGGGCUAAUACCGGAUAGGAGCUCCUGCUGCAUGGUGGGGGUUGGAAAGGUUCGGCGGUUGGGGAUGGACUCGCGGCUUAUCAGCUUGUUAGUGGGGUAGGGGCUUACCAAGGCUUUGACGGGUAGCCGGCCUGAGAGGGUGACCGGCCACAUGGGGACUGAGGUACGGACCAGACUCCUACGGGAGGCAGCAGUGGGGAAUAUUGCACAAUGGGCGGAAGCCUGAUGCGACAACGCCGCGUGCGGGAUGACGGCCUUCGGGUUGUAAACCGAUUUCGCCUGUGACGAAGCGUGAGUGACGGUAAUGGGUAAAGAAGCACCGGCUAACUACGUG